GCUAACAACCGGCUAACAGAAAGUUUCGUCACAGGUGGUGAACUGCAGUGGGAGAAUACACGACAAGCAAGCACUCUGAACAAUGGGAAGAAGGUUCUUUUCUUUUUAAAUGAAGAAUUUAAAAGUGAGCUGAGCUCUAGAAGGAGAAACUUCUGUUCAUUUUUUUCUGAGUUGGUCUUUUUUCUCUCGUCUUUUGAACAUCGUUUUGGAGAACUUAUCAGAUACAAGACAAGGAAAGGAACAACAGAGGGAUGGUGAAGAGGAAAAUAGAAAAGACAUUCUCAAUUAGAAGAUAUAAAGUGAUCCAGUGAUAAAAGACUUCCACGAUGGCAAUCUUUGAAGUAUGUCAGGUAGGCUGGUGCUAAAGAUGACAUUAUUGAUGGAGGAGAAUGCAUCAUUAAAGAGCUGUGCAUCUACCUGGACGAGGAUCCUGAAAAUAUCUAUGUGGUAACUUCAAAUAUAAGGCCUUAAAGGGGAGGAGUUUUUGGUCACUUGAAAUGUUUGCAUUUUUAAAAAAGUAAAAUCUUAAAAGUAAGAUGUCAGUUGUUCUUGACUGUUUUGUUGUAAGUCUUGUUGUAAAAAGAAUAAUAGAUUUUAUUGUUUGUUGACAUGUUCAUAUGUAUAAUUUUCUGUAAAACUGGAUGAUUAGAAAAACCUGAUUAUCACUUCAUAGAACUGAUUAUUGAUCAAGCUGCUGUAUGAAUUUAUUUUAAUUAGACCACAGACUGAAAUAAAGCAAAUGUAUAAACUU
Oryzias melastigma (Indian medaka) is the source of this 751-nucleotide long non-coding RNA. RefSeq lists it as uncharacterized. The transcript is spliced from 3 exons. NCBI's taxonomy places the organism in Eukaryota, Metazoa, Chordata, Actinopteri, Beloniformes, Adrianichthyidae. The record is from RefSeq and is a predicted model, not a curated record.